CUCGUAGACGGCCAACUAAGUCAGACGUGAAAUCCCCAGGCUCAACCUGGGAACUGCGUCUGAUACUGGAUGGCUUGAAUCCGGGAGAGGGAUGCAGAAUUCCAGGUGUAGCGGUGAAAUGCGUAGAUAUCUAGAGGAAUACCGGUGGCGAAGGCGGCAUCCUGGACCGGCAUUGACGCUGAGGAGCGAAAGCCAGGGGAGCAAACG
RNAcentral lists this ribosomal RNA (207 nucleotides) under uncultured bacterium. RNAcentral's name for it is "partial 16S ribosomal RNA". It matches the Rfam family "Bacterial small subunit ribosomal RNA", at positions 568 to 774 of the family's 1533-position model. The record is from RNAcentral.